AAGGCAAAUGGCCGCUGCUGCGAUACCGAAAGGCCGCAGGAGAGGAAAGUCCGGGCUUCACAGGGCAGGAUGCCAGAUAGCGUCUGGUGGAGGCGACUCCAAGGAAAGUGCAACAGAAAAUUUACCGCCGGAAAGCGCAGCCAGGCUGGGCUUUCCGGUAAGGGUGGAAAGGCAGUGUAAGAGACUACCGCCUGUCUGGUAACAGACAGGGCUGUGUAAACCCCAUCCGAAGCAAGAUCAAGCAGGAAGCAUAAGGCGGCCCGUCUGCUUCCGGGUAGAUCGCUUGAGGCUGCCGGUGACGGCAGUCCUAGAUAGAUGGCCAUUCACGACAUAACCCGGCUUAUCGCUUUGCUCA
Molecule: RNase P RNA, 355 nt
Filed under: chicken gut metagenome
Description: Bacterial RNase P class A
Rfam family: Bacterial RNase P class A
About the family: Ribonuclease P (RNase P) is a ubiquitous endoribonuclease, found in archaea, bacteria and eukarya as well as chloroplasts and mitochondria. Its best characterised activity is the generation of mature 5'-ends of tRNAs by cleaving the 5'-leader elements of precursor-tRNAs.
Source: RNAcentral